CCCUGCCUGCAGGCCCGUCUCCCCCGUUUCCUCCAGAGCAAUGACCAGGUGACAGCCUCCUCCCGUGAUGCCCCAGGGAGAUGGAGCUGGCCAGCUCCAGCCGGCACUGAGUCCGGGCUCUGACAUCCCUUCAGCCUGCUUGCCUUAGCCUGAAACACGCUCCCAGCUCACCCCCACCCCGGUGAGGGAAGCAGAAAGGCGAGUCCAGAUAAUCCCAGCAAUGAUGCCGUGACGGCACUUCAGCGGGGCCAGACGGAGACAUGGGCUUCGAAUCUCCAGGAUCCAGAAGAUGAUACACAAGGGGCGGUUCACUCUCUACCCAACAGGAGAAGCUACCGUGCCUGCUCCUCCGUUCAGGAGGCCCUGCAAGCGACAGGGCUGCCCUUCCACGUGCUCUCCGUAGAUGGAGCGUCCGUUUGUUCCCGGAAAUUGAGCCGUUUGGAGAAGAAUAAGCUGGCAUGGGACCGGAGGCGAUUCAAAUCAAGCCCGGGAAAGAGUUCUCUUCCUCCUGAAAGGCUGGCUGACGAGGCCACGAGGAGAGAGCAGGAAACACACUGAAAUAACGCUGCUCUCCGCUUCCCCGCACCUUUCGUCUGCGGGUUUCAAAGCGCUCCCUGAAUUUCCAUCACAUUUUCAUGAUGGCACGUCUUAUGGCAGGACGCAGCCCGAGUGGGACUUGCUCCAAGGGGCCUCCUGUCUCUCCAGGAAAACUCGUUCAUUUUCUUUUGUGCCAGUGAUGGAACGUGCGGUUGCUUUGUUUCCAUCACUUACCGUCCCGUGUGACAGCGACGGGGCUGCAUCCACAGCCUUUCCUAGACGGAGGCUUCCUCUGAGGGCGGCCGAGGCUGACUCCUCUUCACGUGCCCGGCAAACGGCAGAGCCUCCGCGCGUGUCCGAGGGCCUCGAUGGAUCGGAAGUGGGACCCAGGGAGAUUGCACACCUCACGCCAAGGACGGAGACAGAAGGGUGGGUUGCAGCCAGGAGUCCAGUCCGUCCAGACACUUCGUGAAGAUGGAACUCUUAUCUUUACGUAACUACUUCAGACAAACACCCCGUAGGAAUGAUGACUGGAGGGGACGGACACCAAACUUGAGGACACUUUCUAGAAAUGCAGCUGGGGGAGGGGAAGGUGUCAGGAUGAUCCCAUGAGUCAGUGGGGCUCGAAAGUAUCUUUCGACAAAGGCUAUUUACCCACCCGUAGGGUAGGCUCUAGUCUCACAACCUAUGAAAGAACAGGUGACUCACUGAUGGGAGAGCUUAAUGGCAGGGAAUGAAUUUGUGGCCAGUGGGCCAGGGUGAGGAGUUGUGUGGCAGGUUACACGAAGAGGCAGCUUGGAGGGUGAGACAGGGACUGGGGUCGGGGCCUGAGGAUGCUGUCCUCCGGACUGGCCGACCGGCAAGCUGGACAGGAUAAGAAGCAAGCCUCUUUGCCUCUAGAAUUUUAGAGUGGAAGAAAUAGUAAAACGAUGUACUUCAGCGUUUCUCAUCCAGAGUGUCAGAAUGCCCCGGGACUCCUGAUCAAGUAUGAGAAAGGGUAACGUCCACUACAAACUAGGGAGUGUGCUCCCCCCGGGCGAUUGGAUCACCAAUGCUGCUAAGCUGCGGUGUGUCCACCGUCGACCUGGAUUCCAGCAAAAGAAACAGGAAAACCACAGGUUUAGCCUAAUUGCUUCCUUCUAAGAAGGAAGGAACUAAGGGCCAAACCCCACUGUUCCCCUCCUGCUGGGUCCCAGGGCUAAGCUAGGUCUCAGGGCUCCAGGUCUGCAGCCCGCGGUCCGCUCAGUCCUGUGGGCUGCUCUUAGCGUCACUUUUGUUAUACCCCGCAGAUGUAACACGAACAACCCUGAACUUUAACAAAGUGCUAAAGUUUUGGGGUUUGGGAUCCUGAAAUUCCUUUAGGACCCAUGUGCUUUCUGUGCUAAUUUACUAAC
Long non-coding RNA from Lagenorhynchus albirostris (white-beaked dolphin), 1931 nucleotides. RefSeq lists it as uncharacterized. Lineage: Eukaryota; Metazoa; Chordata; Mammalia; Artiodactyla; Delphinidae. The transcript is spliced from 3 exons. The record is from RefSeq and is a predicted model, not a curated record.